UACGGGGGGAGCAAGCGUUGUUCGGAUUUACUGGGCGUAAAGGGCGCGUAGGCGGUCAGCACAAGUCAGUUGUGAAAUCUCCGGGCUUAACUCGGAAAGGUCAACUGAUACUGUGCGACUAGAGUGCAGAAGGGGCAACUGGAAUCCUCGGUGUAGCGGUGAAAUGCGUAGAUAUCUGGAGGAACACCGGUGGCGAAGGCGGCAUCCUGGACCAACAUUGACGCUGAGGAGCGAAAGCUAGGGGAGCAAACGGG
This 254-nucleotide ribosomal RNA is filed under the name uncultured bacterium. RNAcentral describes it as "partial 16S ribosomal RNA". It matches the Rfam family "Bacterial small subunit ribosomal RNA", at positions 524 to 776 of the family's 1533-position model. The record is from RNAcentral.